UGGUAUAAAGGAUGAUCCGCCUAAUAAUUUACUUUUAUUAUAUUGGUGUAUAUCUGGUUUAAUAUUAUUGCUGAAUGGCAGAAGUUGUGUAGUGUUAUUUAAGCCAAGUCUAUGUGCUGUUUAUAAAAGUAUUCAUGCGUUACAUUAAUAAGUAUUUAAUUGUAAUAUUAGAUGAUUUAGGACUUAAAAGUAAUGUUCAAUUAAUUAGUAAAUGUGAAAUAA
This 222-nucleotide ribosomal RNA is filed under the name Hydatigera taeniaeformis. RNAcentral's name for it is "partial 12S ribosomal RNA". Lineage: Eukaryota; Metazoa; Platyhelminthes; Cestoda; Cyclophyllidea; Taeniidae. The record is from RNAcentral.